AUGAAGAAUGGAGGACAUUCAGCGGGAGUGGCGGCGGUAGUUUUUGAUGAUUGUUAUUUUAUGGCGUGCGAUUUUCUGCGUAUUAGUUUUGAGCAUUGUAAUAGGGAAGCAAAUAAAGUUCCUCAUGAACUUGCUAGAUUAGCUAAAUUUUCUGUGACUAGAGAUUGUUUUGAGUAACCUAUGAAUGAGCUGGUAACUUUUCUUAUUAACGAUGUAAGUGCUAUUUCCAAUGAAUAA
This 237-nucleotide ribosomal RNA is filed under the name Triticum aestivum (bread wheat). RNAcentral describes it as "partial small subunit ribosomal RNA". Lineage: Eukaryota; Viridiplantae; Streptophyta; Magnoliopsida; Poales; Poaceae. The record is from RNAcentral.